RNAcentral lists this long non-coding RNA (1429 nucleotides) under Rattus norvegicus (Norway rat). RNAcentral describes it as "long non-coding RNA NONRATT021929". The record is from RNAcentral. Lineage: Eukaryota; Metazoa; Chordata; Mammalia; Rodentia; Muridae.
CGAGCUCUGUCGCGAGGUGCGUCGCAGGAGGAUGGUGCAGGGCAAGACACGGCGCCGCAGCUCCACCACACACGUCAAGCAAGCGAUUAACAAGAUGCUCACCAAAAUCAGCAGUUAGAGGCCCUGCCACACUGUGCCGAAAAGUGGGAAGGCCUUCCUGGGUCUUCUUUUGCCCCUCAACCACAGCCAAGAUAUUCCACUUCUUAUUCUGAGUUUGGGGAACGUCAGGGUUUCUCGUGGUUCCCGAUCCAGUAAAUGCUGGGAAAUUCUCGAGUGUCUUCUGCAGCCCCGUGCUGGGACAGUCUCUCUCUUCCCUGCUUGCGUAGGAUCGGUGCUAGUGUAGUUUGAAGAUGUAACCACCAAAGACGUUGAAGUGGCUGGGUUCGCGGAAGCUAAUUUUAGGGUAUCUCUGCCUGCUUAAAUAAGCUGCAAGUCUUUUCAAAGGCAUUUUAAGAUUCCGAAUGUCUGGUGAGAAGGUUAGCAGAGCGAUUCGAAUGGGAAACAGAAUUCUAGUUCCCAUUCGAAGUGAGGAUUUUUUUUAUAUCGUUAUUGUUAUUAUCUUACUUAAAUUAUGGGGCUUUCCUUUAACACUUUAUUUCAUUUUUAGGUUGAAAUGGUAUCACUGACUUUGGCUUUGUGAUGUAAUUGCCCAUUUCAGUUCAAGUUGGUUCUCUCUCAGCGAUCUACAGCAGUCCUUAGGCACCAUAUUCUAUUAUUUCCUUAAUAACAAAAGAAACAGGACCCACAAUUCGUUCCCUCCUGUGGCUUUGCUCCCCCAAACCUGGGUGAUAAGAAAAAGAAAAAAACAAAACAACAACAACAACAAAAAAAAAAAAAAAAAACCCACCAGGAACCUUUGUACCAAAGCUCGACUUCAGUGCAUGUUCGUAGGGGAAUUACAAUUAGAGACACCUGGUUUGUUUACUCUAUUAGCACCGUAGCGGGAAGGUCGCCCUCUAAAUAAGACAAUUAUGAUGCUUCGUUAUUCCUCCUUGGAAACCAAGGCAGAAUCCCAUGCAGUCAGAAAGAGUCAGCCUCUGAUUCAGUAAGUUGCCCACAUGCCUCCUCCUUAACCUUUUUAACCUUUGGGUAAGAUUAAUUCACAUGGGGGAAUUCAGAGAAAUAAUGGGUGAGUGAAAUUCACCAUACCUGAACAAGCGUGUAAAAAGCGGAUGCUUGACUGACUGAAGGAUUCUUUAACUGCCCAGAGUUUAUGACUUCUCUUCAUUUCCUGCCCCAUAUACUGAGAUUUGGGCACUUUAUUUCAGGAUAAAAUAUAUAUCUUUUACGAUGUCUGUAUUUAUAUGUAUACUUAUAAGUAUGUAUAAAAUUUGUAAGCAUCGAAGGUUUUAACUCACCAAUGUAUUUGAACAAUCUGGUGUAACUGACUCCGUUUUAUGUGAUUAUAAUAAAAAAUAUAAUUUUCAAA